GGCUUUCGGGUCGUAAAGCACUGUUGUAUGGGAAGAACAGCUAGAAUAGGAAAUGAUUUUAGUUUGACGGUACCAUACCAGAAAGGGACGGCUAAAUACGUGCCAGCAGCCGCGGUAAUACGUAUGUCCCGAGCGUUAUCCGGAUUUAUUGGGCGUAAAGCGAGCGCAGACGGUUUAUUAAGUCUGAUGUGAAAGCCCGGAGCUCAACUCCGGAAUGGCAUUGGAAACUGGUUAACUUGAGUGCAGUAGAGGUAAGUGGAACUCCAUGUGUAGCGGUGGAAUGCGUAGAUAUAUGGAAGAACACCAGUGGCGAAGGCGGCUUACUGGACUGCAACUGACGUUGAGGCUCGAAAGUGUGGGUAGCAAACAGGAUUAGAUACCCUGGUAGUCCACACCGUAAACGAUGAACACUAGGUGUUAGGAGGUUUCCGCCUCUUAGUGCCGAAGCUAACGCAUUAAGUGUUCCGCCUGGGGAGUACGACCGCAAGGUUGAAACUCAAAGGAAUUGACGGGGACCCGCACAAGCGGUGGAGCAUGUGGUUUAAUUCGA
This 550-nucleotide ribosomal RNA is filed under the name Leuconostoc mesenteroides. RNAcentral's name for it is "bacterial SSU rRNA". It matches the Rfam family "Bacterial small subunit ribosomal RNA", at positions 413 to 954 of the family's 1533-position model. The record is from RNAcentral. Lineage: Bacteria; Bacillati; Bacillota; Bacilli; Lactobacillales; Lactobacillaceae.